GGAGAGAUAGCGAAGAGGCUAAACGCGGCGGACUGUAAAUCCGCUCCUUCGGGUUCGGGGGUUCGAAUCCCUCUCUCUCCAUUU
This 84-nucleotide transfer RNA is filed under the name Streptococcus pneumoniae. RNAcentral's name for it is "tRNA-Tyr". It matches the Rfam family "tRNA". From Rfam's summary of the family: Transfer RNA (tRNA) molecules are approximately 80 nucleotides in length. RNAcentral also lists the same sequence under 11 other names. The record is from RNAcentral. Lineage: Bacteria; Bacillati; Bacillota; Bacilli; Lactobacillales; Streptococcaceae.